RNAcentral lists this ribosomal RNA (253 nucleotides) under uncultured bacterium. Its description in RNAcentral is "partial 16S ribosomal RNA". It matches the Rfam family "Bacterial small subunit ribosomal RNA", at positions 524 to 776 of the family's 1533-position model. The record is from RNAcentral.
UACGUAGGGUCCGAGCGUUGUCCGGAAUUACUGGGAGUAAAGAGCUCGUAGGUGGUUUGUCGCGUUGUUCGUGAAAACUCACAGCUCAACUGUGGGCGUGCGGGCGAUACGGGCAGACUAGAGUACUGCAGGGGAGACUGGAAUUCCUGGUGUAGCGGUGGAAUGCGCAGAUAUCAGGAGGAACACCGGUGGCGAAGGCGGGUCUCUGGGCAGUAACUGACGCUGAGGAGCGAAAGCGUGGGGAGCGAACAGG